GCACGCUUGGGGGGUGAAGUGUCAAAUUUAAGUUUUCCUCGGUGUCUUUUGUAAAUAAUAAUAACAAUAGUAGGUUUGUUCUAGUGCAGAUUUUAUAGCUGCUGCUUCUUUACAAGUAGCUACUACCCUGACACUACUAACUUUGUUAACAAAUAUCUCCGAAUAUGCCUAGCCAGAUGGAUUCAUAUUUGGGUAUUCAUUUCAUCAAUCCUCUAGUAAAACUUAAUUUAGUUAAGUU
RNAcentral lists this unclassified non-coding RNA (238 nucleotides) under Hevea brasiliensis (rubber tree). Lineage: Eukaryota; Viridiplantae; Streptophyta; Magnoliopsida; Malpighiales; Euphorbiaceae. The record is from RNAcentral.